RNAcentral lists this transfer RNA (70 nucleotides) under Anolis carolinensis (green anole). It matches the Rfam family "tRNA". From Rfam's summary of the family: Transfer RNA (tRNA) molecules are approximately 80 nucleotides in length. Their secondary structure includes four short double-helical elements and three loops (D, anti-codon, and T loops). The record is from Rfam by way of RNAcentral. Lineage: Eukaryota; Metazoa; Chordata; Lepidosauria; Squamata; Anolidae.
UAUUGAGAAGCAGUGCUCUCAGCAUCAGACUGUGACUCUGAAAAUCAGGGUUCAAAUCCCCGCUUGGUGA